UACGAAGGGGGCUAGCGUUGUUCGGAAUUACUGGGCGUAAAGGGCGCGUAGGCGGUCCCUCAAGUCAGGCGUGAAAGCCCCGGGCUCAACCUGGGAACCGCGCUUGAGACUGAUGGGCUAGAGUUCGGGAGAGGAUGGUGGAAUUCCCAGUGUAGAGGUGAAAUCCGUAGAUAUUAGGAGGAACACCGGUGGCGAAGGCGGCUACCUGGACCGAUAUUGACGCUGAGACGCGAAAGCGUGGGGAGCAAACAGG
This 253-nucleotide ribosomal RNA is filed under the name uncultured bacterium. RNAcentral's name for it is "partial 16S ribosomal RNA". It matches the Rfam family "Bacterial small subunit ribosomal RNA", at positions 524 to 776 of the family's 1533-position model. The record is from RNAcentral.